AUACGAAGGGGGCUAGCGUUGUUCGGAAUUACUGGGCGUAAAGAGUACGUAGGUGGUUUGUUAAGUCAGAUGUGAAAGCCCCGGGCUCAACCUGGGAACUGCAUUUGAAACUGGCAAACUAGAGUAUGGUAGAGGGGGGUAGAAUUUCUAGUGUAGCGGUGAAAUGCGUAGAUAUUAGAAGGAAUACCAGUGGCGAAGGCGGCCCCCUGGACCAAUACUGACACUGAGGUACGAAAGCGUGGGUAGCGAACAGGAUUAGAAACCCUAGUAGUCC
This 274-nucleotide ribosomal RNA is filed under the name uncultured bacterium. RNAcentral's name for it is "partial 16S ribosomal RNA". It matches the Rfam family "Bacterial small subunit ribosomal RNA", at positions 523 to 796 of the family's 1533-position model. The record is from RNAcentral.